GACGAACGCUGGCGGCGUGCCUAAUACAUGCAAGUAGAACGCACAGUUUAUACCGUAGCUUGCUACACCAUAGACUGUGAGUUGCGAACGGGUGAGUAACGCGUAGGUAACCUGCCUGGUAGCGGGGGAUAACUAUUGGAAACGAUAGCUAAUACCGCAUAAUAUUAAUUAUUGCAUGAUAAUUAAUUGAAAGGUGCAAUUGCACCACUACCAGAUGGACCUGCGUUGUAUUAGCUAGUAGGUGAGGUAACGGCUCACCUAGGCGACGAUACAUAGCCGACCUGAGAGGGUGAUCGGCCACACUGGGACUGAGACACGGCCCAGACUCCUACGGGAGGCAGCAGUAGGGAAUCUUCGGCAAUGGACGAAAGUCUGACCGAGCAACGCCGCGUGAGUGAAGAAGGUUUUCGGAUCGUAAAGCUCUGUUGUAAGAGAAGAACGGGUGUGAGAGUGGAAAGUUCACACUGUGACGGUAUCUUACCAGAAAGGGACGGCUAACUACAUG
This 505-nucleotide ribosomal RNA is filed under the name uncultured bacterium. RNAcentral's name for it is "partial 16S ribosomal RNA". It matches the Rfam family "Bacterial small subunit ribosomal RNA", at positions 28 to 507 of the family's 1533-position model. The record is from RNAcentral.